GAUGAACGCUAGCGACAGGCUUAACACAUGCAAGUCGAGGGGCAGCAUAAAAGUAGCAAUACUUUGGUGGCGACCGGCGCACGGGUGAGUAACGCGUAUGCAACCUACCUAUCAGAGGGGAAUAACCCGGCGAAAGUCGGACUAAUACCGCAUAAAACAGGGGCACCGCAUGGUGAUAUUUGUUAAAGAAAUUCGCUGAUAGAUGGGCAUGCGUUCCACUAGGUAGUUGGUGAGGUAACGGCUCACCAAGCCGACGAUGGAUAGGGGAACUGAGAGGUUGGCCCCCCACACUGGUACUGAGACACGGACCAGACUCCUACGGGAGGCAGCAGUGAGGAAUAUUGGUCAAUGGGCGAGAGCCUGAACCAGCCAAGUCGCGUGAAGGAAGAAGGAUCUAUGGUUCGUAAGCUUCUUUUGCAGGGGAAGAAAGUGCGGGACGUGUCCUGUUUUGUAUGUACCCUGAGAAUAAGGAUCGGCUAACUCCGUGCCAGCCGCCGCAGUAA
This 503-nucleotide ribosomal RNA is filed under the name uncultured bacterium. RNAcentral describes it as "partial 16S ribosomal RNA". It matches the Rfam family "Bacterial small subunit ribosomal RNA", at positions 28 to 523 of the family's 1533-position model. The record is from RNAcentral.